AACGAACGCUGGCGGCAUGCCUAACACAUGCAAGUCGAACGAAGGCUUCGGCCUUAGUGGCGCACGGGUGCGUAACGCGUGGGAAUCUGCCCCUCGAUUCGGAAUAACAGUUAGAAAUGACUGCUAAUACCGGAUGAUGACUUCGGUCCAAAGAUUUAUCGCCGAGGAUGAGCCCGCGUAAGAUUAGGUAGUUGGUGGGGUAAAGGCCUACCAAGCCGACGAUCUUUAGCUGGUCUGAGAGGAUGAUCAGCCACACUGGGACUGAGACACGGCCCAGACUCCUACGGGAGGCAGCAGUGGGGAAUAUUGGACAAUGGGCGAAAGCCUGAUCCAGCAAUGCCGCGUGAGUGAUGAAGGCCUUAGGGUUGUAAAGCUCUUUUACCAGGGAUGAUAAUGACAGUACCUGGAGAAUAAGCUCCGGCUAACUCCGUGCCAGCCGCCGCAGUAA
RNAcentral lists this ribosomal RNA (448 nucleotides) under uncultured bacterium. Its description in RNAcentral is "partial 16S ribosomal RNA". It matches the Rfam family "Bacterial small subunit ribosomal RNA", at positions 29 to 523 of the family's 1533-position model. The record is from RNAcentral.